CCACCAAGUACAAUGCCUAGUUCUUUCUCCCUACCCUAUCGAACCGUUAAAUUGAAACUCGCCGUAACUGAAAGAGCUUCAAACCUCAAAAAAAUUUCUCUUUACCCUUGACCUCCCCCUCUUUGUGCGUUGCCUCUGUCUCUCUCUAGCCGCCCUCUCUCUCUUUAGCUGCAGCUCUCUACGUGGCUUCCCUCUCUCUCUAGCUGCCCACUCUCUCUGUGGCUUCCCUCUCUCUCUAGCUGCCCACUCUCUCUCUGCGUGCCUUCCCUCUCUCUAGCUGCCCUCUCUGCUAUCCCUAUGCUCCGCUUCUCUCUCUCUCUCUUCUGAGCAAUGGCGGUGGCCCUAUACUUGGUUUGAACAAGUGGUCUCCCUCUCUCUCUCCUCACAAACAUCAAAAACCAGAACGUUGAGAUGCAUUUCUUUGGCCAAAGAGCUCAGCAUAACUGCGUCUCUCUCUUUGAGAGACCUUUUCUAUUUUGCAGCAGGAGCCAUCUAUGUCUCUCUCUCUACCCCACGAAGCCCCCAAAUCUCUCUCUCUCUCUCUACCCCACGAAGCCCCCAAAUCUCUCUCUCUCUCUACACCGUUUAGCCCCCAAAUCUCUCCCUCUACCCCGUGGUUUACGCCGCAGCAGGGAGACAAAUCUUCUCCCAAACCCUCUUCUCUCCCUGUAUAGAAGAAGUUGGAUCCGCUGAUUUGAGGGCUAAAGAAACCCUAGGGUUAGCCAAGAAGAUCGAGAGGGUUUGAGCCGUCUUUAACUGCAAGAGAGAAGAGGAGCGUCCGCCCUGCAGAGAAGAGAGCCAGCAAAGAGGGAUAUUGGUCAAAAUAAAAUUAGGUCAGAGAAGAGAGCGAGCAACGAAAAGUGGGUUGUUGGUGAAAGUAAAUUUGGGUUUGAAGCUUUUGGGCCAUUCAUUUCUUGCGUAGUUGGAAUGUUUUGUUCGUGCAGUUAGAGGUUUUGUUCAAUCGCGGCUCAACAUUUUAUUAAAUACAAACAAACGGUGGAUACUAGAGAGGUGAAAUGACUGUUUAGUUUGGCC
This 1035-nucleotide long non-coding RNA is filed under the name Amborella trichopoda. RNAcentral describes it as "long non-coding RNA (ATRI_LNC002205)". Lineage: Eukaryota; Viridiplantae; Streptophyta; Magnoliopsida; Amborellales; Amborellaceae. The record is from RNAcentral.